This 468-nucleotide ribosomal RNA is filed under the name uncultured bacterium. Its description in RNAcentral is "partial 16S ribosomal RNA". It matches the Rfam family "Bacterial small subunit ribosomal RNA", at positions 28 to 507 of the family's 1533-position model. The record is from RNAcentral.
GACGAACGCUGGCGGCGUGCUUAACACAUGCAAGUCGAACGGAAAGGCCCUGCUUUUGUGGGGUGCUCGAGUGGCGAACGGGUGAGUAACACGUGAGUAACCUGCCCUUGACUUUGGGAUAACAUCAGGAAACUGGGGCUAAUACCGGAUAGGAGCUCCUGCUGCAUGGUGGGGGUUGGAAAGUUUCGGCGGUUGGGGGUGGACUCGCGGCUUAUCAGCUUGUUGGUGGGGUAGUGGCUUACCAAGGCUUUGACGGGUAGCCGGCCUGAGAGGGUGACCGGCCACAUUGGGACUGAGAUACGGCCCAGACUCCUACGGGAGGCAGCAGUGGGGAAUAUUGCACAAUGGGCGGAAGCCUGAUGCAGCAACGCCGCGUGCGGGAUGACGGCCUUCGGGUUGUAAACCGCUUUCGCCUGUGACGAAGCGUGAGUGACGGUAAUGGGUAAAGAAGCACCGGCUAACUACGUG